This 82-nucleotide transfer RNA is filed under the name Prunus dulcis (almond). RNAcentral's name for it is "tRNA-Tyr". The record is from RNAcentral. RNAcentral also lists the same sequence under 9 other names. Lineage: Eukaryota; Viridiplantae; Streptophyta; Magnoliopsida; Rosales; Rosaceae.
GCCGCAACGGAACAACGGAAGUUCACUGGGUAACUCUAAUCUAAGGGGUACGGGGACGUAGGUUCGAAUCCUAUUUGCGGCU